GAGAUGCUGCAGGCGUCAGUGCGGCUUCCCACUAGGCGCGUGGUACCCGAGGCCGGGCCGGAGCCGCAGGCCAGCCGCGAUUCCUUCGGGCGAUGCUGGGGGCUUUCCGGUCGGGGCCGCAGCCGCUUCCGGAGCCGCGGGCGAGGUGCAAGCGGUCUUCUCUGUCUUCUUUAUGGCCAGUAAAAUUCUCCAGAAGAGAUUUAUGGCAGCCUCACUCCCAGUAGUUUCUGCAUUUAGUGAGAUAAGGAAUGGAUUUUCUUCUGUGUAUUGCUGACACGAACAGGAGACGGAAAUACUGAGUAGAAGAGGGCGGUUCCCUGGCUAAGGCCCCACCCUCAAGCCUGGAUACCCGCGGCCCUAAAUGAGAAGAGGCGUUUCUGUUUGGGGCCCAAAAAGUUGCUUUUUGACCCACCACGCCCCCUAUCCUGCCCCCAUAUAAACCCCAAACCCCAACCUCCAGAGCAUACCAGCAGGUGAGGAGAUACGAGGCAAGCCGACUGACGGCAAAACGACGUAGCAGAGAAAGAGAGAAGAGGAGGGACGUCUGGACACCGAGAGAUGUUUGGCUCGGGGCAGUCAGAGCGGAGUCCAGCCCCUGGGCGGCCCAACUCCAGGGGAAGAUCACCUUCCCACUUCAUCCAUCCCCACCCUUCCAGCUCCCCAUCCAUCCUGCUGAAAGCCAUUUCCACCACUCAAUAAAACCUCGCAUUCAUCCUUCAAGUCCGUGUGUGACCCGAUUUUUCCUGGAUUCUGGAAAAGAGCUCGGAAUACAGAAAGCUGUCCCCUGGUCCUUUGCCCUUGUGAAAAAGCAGAAGGUCCAUUGAGCUGGUUAACACUCCAGCUGUCUGUGGUGGCCAAGCUGAAAGAGCUUUGUAACACUGGGGUUGCAGGCACCCACCUCUAGACGCUACCGCAGAGCCAGAGCCCAAAGCCCUCACCCCGGCCUCUGCACUUGCCCAUCUGCGUGCUCCCCCUCUCGCAAGGGGUUUCUGCAGAGGGGGCUACUGAACAGGUGAGCCACACCCCUGUCGCACGCCCUGCAAGGGGAAUCAGGGAACUCUUCCGUUUCAUUGCUUUGACCACAUCCUAUAAAUCUUGUUCUCCUUGUCUUUCAGCUCCAAUUUGUUUAUACAUUCAGUUUUUACUUUUGACUUUACUCAUGAUUUAUUAUAGAAAGAUGUUUAACAAUUUUCAAGCAAAUGGAAUAAUUUUUGCUCCUCUUUCGUUGUUAAUUUAUUAUUCAUUGGAGUUAGAAAAUUGUUGCUAAAAUAAAUUCUGCAUUUUGAAAUUUA
RNAcentral lists this long non-coding RNA (1292 nucleotides) under Homo sapiens (human). Lineage: Eukaryota; Metazoa; Chordata; Mammalia; Primates; Hominidae. The record is from RNAcentral.